GAUUGUCAUACAAUUGAUUUUCAACCUUGUUAAUUACAGAUGAUUAUUUGAAGUUUAUCAAGUAAAUUAUAGGCCUUACUUGAAUACCUUUUACAUUUUCAUAUUUAAAUUCAUAUUUCAUUUGUUUUAAAGAACUUGUAAAUCCAUUAAUCAGUUAUCUUUUAGAUAUAAUUCACAGAAUCACUUUAUGUAAUGUAGAUCAAAAAGUAAUACGAAAUAAAUAAAUCUAUCAUCCUUAUAUAUAUCACAUACCACACAUCUAAUAUAUACAUUUGUGUAUUCAAGUAUGAGGUCAAAUAUUUGUAUAUAAGAUCUAGAUGUAUAUUGCAAGGUCUGUAAAAUUAUGUAAGACUGAGGUCGAUAUGUAAUGUGGUCAAUUUGAUUGACAGUUUAGUAGGUGGGGCAUUGUAAUAAAAGGUCUACAUUGUCACUGAUUGUUUAGUGAUAAUGCCAGUUGUCAAUCAUACUAGUAUUGUAUUAAUACCCAAUUUUGUUGAUCAUACUAGUAUUGUAUUAAUACUCAAUUACCUAAUCAAAAUCAAAAUGUUUUUUUUAAAAAGCCUGCACAUCAACACACCUUAAUGACAUACAUUCUUGAAUUAACUGCUCCAAUAAUAUACCCAUUUUUUCAGUUUAGAUGUGUAUUAUGUGCACAUACAUGAGAAUCAUAGGGAACUAUAUUUUUAGGGUGAAUACAUUUGCUAACAGUAGCUAACCUGCUGUGUUGUUAGGGAGGCCGAUGCCUUAGUAAAGAUUUAGAAUAAGUUCAAAUCUUUCCAAAAACUAUUU
Molecule: long non-coding RNA, 789 nt
Filed under: Mytilus galloprovincialis (Mediterranean mussel)
Lineage: Eukaryota; Metazoa; Mollusca; Bivalvia; Mytilida; Mytilidae
Source: RNAcentral